This is a long non-coding RNA of Maniola jurtina (meadow brown), 1068 nucleotides long. RefSeq lists it as uncharacterized. Lineage: Eukaryota; Metazoa; Arthropoda; Insecta; Lepidoptera; Nymphalidae. The transcript has 3 exons. The record is from RefSeq and is a predicted model, not a curated record.
GUAAAUAAUUUAUUAUCAAAAAAAUAUUCGUUACAUUUUUCCAAUGUUACCCACCACCCUGUGCAUUGUUAGUCAAAUUGAUAAAAGCUUGUAUAAUUAGGUAUAACUUGUAAAAAUAUUGUAUAAAAUACUCUGUAUAAAUACUUUUAGUAAAAACAUUCUGUAAAAAAUUAUACGUGUCUAGAACAGAAUCAUAAAUAAAAACUUAAAACUAGAUAUAGUAUUGUAUUGUCUUUUUCGAUUACAUUAAAAAUUAAAAUAAUACUUGUUUAUACAACUUAACGUUACCUAAUAAGCAUUUUAUUGAGAUACAUUUAAACUCUAUUUUCGAGUCAAGAAACUCGUGAAAAUAUAAAAUGAAAAAAAAAAAAAAAAUUAACAUGGAAUGUUGCAAGGAAAUCAGUAAGUAUAAAAUUAAAAUAAAGAUCCACAGUUUGAGAUUAUGCGUAGUAUAGUAAUUAGUAUGAUUUAAGAUAUAAUUCUUGCUAUUCGCGACUUCAAAACAUGGCGCGUAGACAACGACCAAUAGAGGACGGACGCGCGCUAUGAUUGACUGACAUAUUUUCGAACCGUUCAAAAAAUAAGUUUUCUACGCAGGUACAUCGACGUAAUUUAUAAAAGUGGCACUGCUAGUCCUACUAAAUGUAGGACUAGGAUAUCUCAGCCAAUCAUAGCGCGCGUUCGUGCGCUAUUGCUUGUUGCCUACACGCCAUGUUUUGUCCGCGCGAAUUAUGAGUACCUGUUGUUGUCAAGCAAUAAGGUCUGUAUUUCAUUGGUUUUAGUCAGCGUUAGGUUGCGCUUUUCUGCGCAAACGAAUUUUGUUGAUGCGACUUACAAAAGUGGUAGUACUGUUUACAGCGCUAUUUCAAACGUGCGAACUAAGUCAUAAAUCAUUUUUAUCGGACCUCUACUGAACCUGAUUUUCUGGGGUAACAGUAAAAAAAGGAUAGUCUAAAACAGGUUAUAAAGAGUGAGGAAGCCCCAGCUCCCUGCAUCCGAACGGCAUCCCUUUAUCGAUAGCAACUUCUGCAGCAUUCUCACAACCCCAUGAUCGUAGUGAUCUAUUAC